AUGAACGCUAGCGGCAGGCCUAACACAUGCAAGUCGAGGGGCAGCAUAAACAAGCUUGCUUGUUUGGUGGCGACCGGCGCACGGGUGCGUAACGCGUAUGCAACCUACCCUGUACUGGGGGAUAGCCCGGAGAAAUUCGGAUUAAGACCUCAUAGUAUGUGAGAAUCGCAUGGUUUUCACAUUAAAGUUCCAACGGUAAAAGAUGAGCAUGCGUCCCAUUAGCUAGAUGGUAAGGUAACGGCUUACCAUGGCGACGAUGGGUAGGGGUCCUGAGAGGGAGAUCCCCCACACUGGUACUGAGACACGGACCAGACUCCUACGGGAGGCAGCAGUGAGGAAUAUUGGACAAUGGGCGCAAGCCUGAUCCAGCCAUGCCGCGUGCAGGAUGACGGUCCUAUGGAUUGUAAACUGCUUUUGUACAGGAAGAAACACUCCCUCGUGAGGGAGCUUGACGGUACUGUAAGAAUAAGGAUCGGCUAACUCCGUG
This 487-nucleotide ribosomal RNA is filed under the name uncultured bacterium. RNAcentral's name for it is "bacterial SSU rRNA". It matches the Rfam family "Bacterial small subunit ribosomal RNA", at positions 29 to 507 of the family's 1533-position model. The record is from RNAcentral.